Molecule: long non-coding RNA, 345 nt
Organism: Mus musculus (house mouse)
Lineage: Eukaryota; Metazoa; Chordata; Mammalia; Rodentia; Muridae
Product: predicted gene, 30751
Exons: 3
Source: RefSeq, a predicted model, not a curated record
GUGGCAACCUCGAAGAGGAGCCAUGCUUCUCAGCCCUGGGACUCAGGAAGGAACACAAGAGAGCUGUCACCCGCACAAUUAGAUGGCCGUGUUUCUGUGGAGAGGGGAGGUGUAUCCGGAAGUUAGCCUCCCCGGGAUCAUCAUCCACUACAAUGGAAAUAGCCUGAGUUUCUGUAGUGGGCUAUGAAGGAGAGUCAGCUUGCUGAUGAUCUGCAGAACCUGGGGCCAGAGCCAACUACACUUUCUUGGAAAGGAUACAAAUGGAAAGAAAAUGGACAUAAAAGAGGACCAGAUCAAAACAAGUAGUGAAGUGGCAGGUACCAUCCAGAGGGAGCAGCCACUUCA